This 1418-nucleotide non-coding RNA is filed under the name Pan troglodytes (chimpanzee). Lineage: Eukaryota; Metazoa; Chordata; Mammalia; Primates; Hominidae. The record is from RNAcentral.
AGAAAAGAGGACACAAAAGCAUGAAUAACAGGAGGAUGGAUAUAGAAUACCAGCAUCAGCAGGUGUACACGAUUUAAAGCACAUUUGGUAUCUAUUACCAAGCUGCCCUUCAGAGAGGUUGUCUCGUUACACAUUCCACAGCUGUGACUGAGAAACCGUCUUGUCGCAUUUGACAAUCCAGGUUACUAUCUAAAAACUUGAGUUUGUAAGAGCAACACGCCAUGAGAUAAUAUUCGUGCAAACGUAACUGACAAAAGACUAACAUCCCAUAAUACUAGAGCACCUACAAACCAAGAAGAUAAACAUCCCAUUGGGAAAGUGUAAAAAUAUGAACAUAAAGUUUACAGAAGAAAAAACACAAAUGGCUCAUAAACACACAAAAAGAUGAUAUUGUUUCCUGGUAAUUGGGGAAAUGCAAACAAAAACUACAAUGAAAUAUCGUGGUAUCGUGUAUCAAAUUUGCAGAGCAUAAAAUAGAUUACAUUCACAACCAGCAACUACAACCCAACCUUCAGCCUCAUUGGACUUCUUGCCAUUCCCCAAACCAUAUCCACGCCCCUCUCCACAGGCUGUUCCUUCUGCCUGCAUGCCCUCGAUAGCACCAAGGGGGAUGGGCACACUAACACAACUGCUGGGAAUGGGAAAGUUUCAACCUCUUGGGAAUAAAAUCUAACAGUAUUUGUUGGAAUGUAACCUGUGCAUACUCCACAGCUGGGCCACUACCCUGCAAGAACCCCUCUGGCUGCUGCACAAAGCUCUUCUCUGCAUCCUUUUUUAUACUAGUGGAACCCUGGACACAGCCUGCAUAUGGAUCAAAAGGGCAGUGGUUAUAAAUAUACUAUGGUCCAUCUCUAGGCUAGACUGUGAUGCAGUGGUUAAAGCCAAGUAUUGCAGAAGAGUGAUUAAGCAUUCGUGCUCCAAAGCCAGAUAGCCUAGGUUUCAAUCCCAGCUUUGCCACUUACUUGCUGUGUGAUCUUGUGCAACUCACUUAGCCUUUCUGUGUCACAGUUUCUCCAUCUGUAUAAUGGACGAUAACACUAGCCCCUACCUCAUAGGGUCAUUGUGAAGAGUAAAUGAAAUUAAUAUUGCCUAUGUCACAGAGUGAUCUUCCUCAAAAUUUAUUAGAUGAAAAAAGAAAUUUCUAGAAAUUAUCUACAUACAUAUUCUGAUGGGAUUUGUGUAAAGAAUUUAACCAACAAACCCAUAUUACACACACAUACACACACACACUCACACAGACACACACACACACACGCACUCACGUGCGUAGAAGUAGAUCUAGGAAGAUCCAUGACACACAUGCGAGGCAGGUGAAUGGGGACAUUAAAAGGAGGACUUCCACGUUUAAUUCUGAAUGGUCUGACUAUUUUAUUUGUGCAAUUUUAAAAAAUCAAAGCAAUAAAUCACUGUAAAAGAAA